This 69-nucleotide transfer RNA is filed under the name Palpitomonas bilix. It matches the Rfam family "tRNA". From Rfam's summary of the family: Transfer RNA (tRNA) molecules are approximately 80 nucleotides in length. The record is from RNAcentral.
GCCUAUAGUUUAAUCGGUCAGAACAAACCGCUCAUAACGGUUGUGUUGUAGGUUCAAGUCCUGCUAGGC